RNAcentral lists this ribosomal RNA (564 nucleotides) under Enterobacter asburiae. RNAcentral describes it as "bacterial SSU rRNA". It matches the Rfam family "Bacterial small subunit ribosomal RNA", at positions 558 to 1122 of the family's 1533-position model. Lineage: Bacteria; Pseudomonadati; Pseudomonadota; Gammaproteobacteria; Enterobacterales; Enterobacteriaceae. The record is from RNAcentral.
GCGUAAGCGCACGCAGGCGGUCUGUCAAGUCGGAUGUGAAAUCCCCGGGCUCAACCUGGGAACUGCAUUCGAAACUGGCAGGCUAGAGUCUUGUAGAGGGGGGUAGAAUUCCAGGUGUAGCGGUGAAAUGCGUAGAGAUCUGGAGGAAUACCGGUGGCGAAGGCGGCCCCCUGGACAAAGACUGACGCUCAGGUGCGAAAGCGUGGGGAGCAAACAGGAUUAGAUACCCUGGUAGUCCACGCCGUAAACGAUGUCGACUUGGAGGUUGUGCCCUUGAGGCGUGGCUUCCGGAGCUAACGCGUUAAGUCGACCGCCUGGGGAGUACGGCCGCAAGGUUAAAACUCAAAUGAAUUGACGGGGGCCCGCACAAGCGGUGGAGCAUGUGGUUUAAUUCGAUGCAACGCGAAGAACCUUACCUACUCUUGACAUCCAGAGAACUUUCCAGAGAUGGAUUGGUGCCUUCGGGAACUCUGAGACAGGUGCUGCAUGGCUGUCGUCAGCUCGUGUUGUGAAAUGUUGGGUUAAGUCCCGCAACGAGCGCAACCCUUAUCCUUUGUUGCCAGC